UGGCAGGUACAGAGGGAUGCUACCGGGCGACCGGAUGCGGAUCUCGAAAGCCUGUCCCAGUUCGGACUGGAGUCUGCAACCCGACUCCACGAAGUUGGAUUCGCUAGUAAUCGCGCAUCAGCCAUGGCGCGGUGAAUACGUUCCCGGGCCUUGUACACACCGCCCGUCAAGCCAUGGGAGCCGGGGGCGCCUGAAGUCCGGGACCGCGAGGACCGGCCUAGGGCGAAACUGAUAACUGGGGCUAAGUCGUAACAAGGUAAC
Molecule: ribosomal RNA, 261 nt
Filed under: uncultured bacterium
Lineage: Bacteria
Description: partial 16S ribosomal RNA
Rfam family: Bacterial small subunit ribosomal RNA
Source: RNAcentral